UUCAUAAUGUUUUGUUGAUUAACUUAUUAAGUACAAGGAUCCUUUGGUUCUUACUUGUAGAAAUAGUUCAGUCUGUAGGUUUCCCAUCUUGGGACUUUCAUUCAGUAGUCUUGCUGUAAUUUUUAUUUGAUUUACAUGUAGAUUAAUUGGGCAGACAGUUUUAUUAACUUGCUGAUUCUUUUUCAUGUGACAAUAUAGAAUUGUGGGUUAUCUAGCAUAUCCAUUUGUCUAUUGUCCAUUCAUAACCUUAAUUGGUUGGCAGAUUGAGAAAAAAAUAUCAGAAGUUUUUAAGAGCUGUAUCUGAAAUUCACCAUGUGGUGAACAUCUUCCCAUUACAAAAUAUUUUUGUAUUGCAGAUCCAUCCAAAAUUUGGGGUUCUACAAACAUAUACUGAAAUUAUCAGGGGUCUGGCAUUGUACAGCUGCGUAACUGAAGAUACAUUUUAUAUAUGCAUCGUCAGUGUGUCCAUUCCAAUUUGAUGUUGAAUUGGUAUGUUAACUUUUUAUUUAUUCUUAGAUAAUUGGUAGUAUACACAAAAUCCUUAUGGUCAUGUCUAUAUAAUAAAGAUAUUUUAAAUGCCAUAAGCUCCAAUACAAUAUUGUUAAUUUCCAUUGUGUGAAUGAUCAACUUUGCAAGGAGUCUAAUUAUAAAAAGUUGGAGUUGGUGCUAAAUGUACGUGCUUAAACUGAAAUUAUUAGUAAAUUCAUGAUACAUAUUCCCAUAUUUUGUGUAAAAUGAUGAAAAUAGAAAAGGUUCCCUCUACUGAGGUUGUUUACCCACAACACAACCAUGCUGUAGAUUUUCUUCUGAGGAAUAUGGAAAUGCAUUAACAUGAUGAAUGUUUUGUAAAUGUACUAAAUAGCUUUUGUAUUUUCAGAAAGUCCUUGUUCAUUACUUAAAUUAUCAAUAUGCAAGGGAAAAAAAACAGUACUCGUCGUUUACUUCACAUGCACAUUCCUAAAUUACCAGCCUGCCUUGUAAGAAUCGUUUCUACUGCAUGAAUAUAUAACUGAAAGCUAGGUGGAAGACAGCACAGGGCUUUGGGCUUGCAAGCAAGUCUCUACAUCCCAUAACUCAUGUGGAUUUUUAGUAUUUUGGAGGUUUGGAAGACAUGAUCCAAGAAUGAAUGUAAAAUGAUAAAGGGGAUAUAAUUUGUGUACUGAUAAUAAAAAAUAUAUAUUUGUA
Penaeus indicus is the source of this 1185-nucleotide long non-coding RNA. RefSeq lists it as uncharacterized. Lineage: Eukaryota; Metazoa; Arthropoda; Malacostraca; Decapoda; Penaeidae. The transcript has 3 exons. The record is from RefSeq and is a predicted model, not a curated record.